Molecule: non-coding RNA, 94 nt
Organism: Parelaphostrongylus tenuis
Lineage: Eukaryota; Metazoa; Nematoda; Chromadorea; Rhabditida; Metastrongylidae
Source: the annotation of a GenBank genome assembly
GCACCAAUUUAGUUCACUGUCAGUAGAAAGAAGAAUGGUAGAAUGCUCGCCUGCCACGCAGGCGACCCGGGUUCGAUUCCCGGCCAAUGCACCA